CCUACGGGAGGCAGCAGUAAGGAAUAUUGGACAAUGGACGCAAGUCUGAUCCAGCCAUGCCGCGUGAAGGAUUAAGGCCCUCUGGGUUGUAAACUUCUUUUAUAGGGGACGAAAAAAGGGCUUUCUAGCUCGACUGACGGUACCCUAUGAAUAAGCACCGGCUAACUCCGUGCCAGCAGCCGCGGUAAUACGGAGGGUGCAAGCGUUAUCCGGAUUCACUGGGUUUAAAGGGUGCGUAGGCGGGCAUUUAAGUCAGUGGUGAAAUCUUCGAGCUCAACUCGGAAACUGCCAUUGAUACUAUUUGUCUUGAAUAUUGUGGAGGUGAGCGGAAUAUGUCAUGUAGCGGUGAAAUGCUUAGAUAUGACAUAGAACACCGAUUGCGAAGGCAGCUCGCUACACAAAUAUUGACGCUGAGGCACGAAAGCGUGGGGAUCAAACAGGAUUAGAUACCCUGGUAGUCCACGCCCUAAACUAUGGAUACUCGACAUUUGCGAUACACAGUAAGUGUCUGAGCGAAAGCAUUAAGUAUCCCACCUGGAAGUACGACCGCAAGGUUGAAACGUCAAAGGAAUUGACGGCUGAGACGNGCGAGGACGACGACGAGGGAGGAGG
Molecule: ribosomal RNA, 612 nt
Filed under: uncultured bacterium
Lineage: Bacteria
Description: bacterial SSU rRNA
Rfam family: Bacterial small subunit ribosomal RNA
Source: RNAcentral